GUGGGGAAUUUUGGACAAUGGGCGCAAGCCUGAUCCAGCCAUGCCGCGUGCAGGAUGAAGGCCUUCGGGUUGUAAACUGCUUUUGUACGGAACGAAACGGCUCUUUCUAAUAAAGAGGGCUAAUGACGGUACCGUAAGAAUAAGCACCGGCUAACUACGUGCCAGCAGCCGCGGUAAUACGUAGGGUGCGAGCGUUAAUCGGAAUUACUGGGCGUAAAGCGUGCGCAGGCGGUGAUGUAAGACAGAUGUGAAAUCCCCGGGCUCAACCUGGGAACUGCAUUUGUGACUGCAUCGCUGGAGUGCGGCAGAGGGGGAUGGAAUUCCGCGUGUAGCAGUGAAAUGCGUAGAUAUGCGGAGGAACACCGAUGGCGAAGGCAAUCCCCUGGGCCUGCACUGACGCUCAUGCACGAAAGCGUGGGGAGCAAACAGGAUUAGAUACCCGAGUAGUCC
This 450-nucleotide ribosomal RNA is filed under the name uncultured bacterium. RNAcentral describes it as "partial 16S ribosomal RNA". It matches the Rfam family "Bacterial small subunit ribosomal RNA", at positions 354 to 796 of the family's 1533-position model. The record is from RNAcentral.